GAGGUAAUCUCAAAUUGUAACAGUGGGUUGAUUUUCCUGGUGAAUCCCGGCCUUGUCCUCCGUCACAAGUGUGACAAGUGUCUCGAAAACGUGUUCGCUAUACCCACGUUACAGAUUGGGGUUUCCCC
Aedes aegypti (yellow fever mosquito) is the source of this 128-nucleotide non-coding RNA. NCBI's taxonomy places the organism in Eukaryota, Metazoa, Arthropoda, Insecta, Diptera, Culicidae. The record is from Rfam.